CAUGAGUUGCAAGACUCCUAACCAUUGUGACCUACCUUCUACCGUGCUUCGGCGGGCCAGCGCCCCCGGCCCCCGGGCCCUCCGGAGUAUACCAAACUCUUGACAUUAGUGGCCUCUCUGAGUAUUCUUUACUGAAUAAGUCA
Molecule: unclassified non-coding RNA, 143 nt
Filed under: soil metagenome
Description: partial internal transcribed spacer 1
Source: RNAcentral